GUAAGGGAUAUUGCACAAUGGGCGCAAGCCUGAUGCAGCAACGCCGCGUGUCCGAUGAAGGCCUUCGGGUCGUAAAGGACUUUUCUAGCUGAUGAGAAACGGACAGUAAGCUAGGAAUAAGUGUCGGCUAACUACGUGCCAGCAGCCGCGGUAAAACGUAGGACGCAAGCGUUAUCCGGAGUUACUGGGCGUAAAGCGCGGGCAGGCGGCCAGACAAGUCUGAUGUGAAAUCUCUUCGCUCAACGGAGAGAGGCCAUUGGAAACUGUCAGGCUGGAGGGCAGUAGAGGUAGGCGGAAUUCCGGGUGGAGUGGUGAAAUGCGUAGAGAUCCGGAGGAACACCAGAGGCGAAGGCGGCCUACUGGGCUGCACCUGACGCUGAGCCGCGAAAGCCAGGGGAGCGAACGGGAUUAGAAACCCGAGUAGUCC
RNAcentral lists this ribosomal RNA (427 nucleotides) under uncultured bacterium. RNAcentral describes it as "bacterial SSU rRNA". It matches the Rfam family "Bacterial small subunit ribosomal RNA", at positions 354 to 796 of the family's 1533-position model. The record is from RNAcentral.